Molecule: ribosomal RNA, 200 nt
Filed under: uncultured bacterium
Lineage: Bacteria
Description: partial 16S ribosomal RNA
Rfam family: Bacterial small subunit ribosomal RNA
Source: RNAcentral
AGAGUUUGAUCCUGGCUCAGAAUAAACGCUGGCGGCGUGCCUAACACAUGCAAGUCGAGCGAGAAAGGUCUUCGGACUGAGUAAAGCGGCAAACGGGUGAGUAACGCGUAGGAAUCUACCGUUCAGUGGAGAAUACCCUCGAGAAAUCGAGGUUAAUACUGCAUACGUCUAGAAAUAGAGAAAGAUGGCCUCUUUGCUGU